GCUUACGGCCAUACCACCCUGAACACACCCGAUCUCGUCUGAUCUCGGAAGCUAAGCAGGGUCGGGCCUGGUCAGUACUUGGAUGGGAGACCGCCUGGGAAUACCAGGUGCUGUAAGCU
Molecule: ribosomal RNA, 119 nt
Filed under: Oreochromis niloticus (Nile tilapia)
Lineage: Eukaryota; Metazoa; Chordata; Actinopteri; Cichliformes; Cichlidae
Source: RNAcentral